Molecule: ribosomal RNA, 433 nt
Filed under: uncultured bacterium
Lineage: Bacteria
Description: partial 16S ribosomal RNA
Rfam family: Bacterial small subunit ribosomal RNA
Source: RNAcentral
AACGAACGCUGGCGGCAUGCCUAACACAUGCAAGUCGAACGAGACCUUCGGGUCUAGUGGCGCACGGGUGCGUAACGCGUGGGAACCUGCCCUUAGGUUCGGAAUAACUCCCCGAAAGGGGUGCUAAUACCGGAUAAUGUCUUCGGACCAAAGAUUUAUCGCCUUUGGAUGGGCCCGCGUUGGAUUAGCUAGUUGGUAGGGUAAAAGCCUACCAAGGCGACGAUCCAUAGCUGGUCAGAGAGGAUGAUCAGCCACACUGGGACUGAGACACGGCCCAGACCCCUCGGGGAGGGGCAGGGGGGGAAUGGUGAAAAGGGGCGGAAGGCUUGAACGACCACGGCGGGGGAAUGAAUGAGGCCUUUGGGGUAGAAAAGUUUUUUUACCCGGGAAAAUAGUGACGUGACCGGAAAAAAAAGCCCCGGCUAACUCCGUG